Molecule: long non-coding RNA, 1039 nt
Filed under: Anas platyrhynchos platyrhynchos (common mallard)
Lineage: Eukaryota; Metazoa; Chordata; Aves; Anseriformes; Anatidae
Description: lncRNA (ENSAPLG00000025033.1)
Source: RNAcentral
AGCAGAAUUUAAAAUGUGGCUGAUGCAUGACGUGACUGGACAGUUUGGCACUAGAUAUAACAUGGCUUCAAGAACAUUUCUUCAAAUUCUACAAAUAAGUGAAUCAAGGCCUACAGCACGAAGGGUUGUAAAAUAUAUUCAUCUUGCAGUUUUCAGAAGACUACAUGCAUUCUGAGAAUAUCCAACAUUAUCAUAACUAAGGAUGAUUCAUUUUCAAAAUGGCAUUAAAGUUUCUGUUUCAAUGCUAAAAGGAUGUUAUGACUGUUGAAUAUAAAAUAUAGAGAGAGAGCAAAAUCACAGAAUUUUUCAGCCUGUCUGCCAUUAAAGGACUUUAUUUUUGUAAUGGUGAGAGGCAGGAUACUGCUUGGCUGAACUGUGCCUAUGAUAAGUUUGGUUAUUCCUGUCCAUUACACCAUUGCACAAGUGAGAGAAUUGUUGUAGCUGGAAUAUGUCUUGCUCUCUAAACUGUGUACUUGUCCACAAUGAGCCAAAAAGGUCUAUGAUAUGGGGCAUACUUCAGGCACUGUUGUCCUAGAGCAGUCAGAUGCCGGCAGAGAACUCCAUCCGUAGUAGGUGAAGAAGAGAAUGUGAACCCCUUUCCAUUGCUCCUCCCAUGGCAGUUCCUUGUCUGCUCUGGAUCCCUUGUAGAGACAGGAAGGGUUUUGAGGGUGCCACCUUGAAAGAUGAAACUCCCCAAGAAUGGGGUGUGGUAGGAGAAAGGCAUGAUCUGACAUGGAGUCUGUAGUUGCUGCAAGGAUCAGAGACGAUGCACGCAGCCGUGCAAUCAUUAUGAUGUAUCUUUUAUAAUGGCUUUUAAGUCUUUUACUAGCACCAAACAAAAACAAAUUAAUGUCUCUGUAUCCUAGCUCUGGAAGUCAUGGGUUUCUUGCUCCUAGGGUUUUUUUUAUACCAUCACUAAUCUAUCUACUGGUAUUACCUCUCCAGAUUUUACCUCUUUUAAGUACCACUUAUUUAUUUUAUACCAAACUGUAAUGGGUUAAAAUUCUGGUAAAUAAAAAAAAAAUUCUGGUAAAGAACA